Long non-coding RNA from Sinocyclocheilus grahami, 409 nucleotides. RefSeq lists it as uncharacterized. The record is from RefSeq and is a predicted model, not a curated record. NCBI's taxonomy places the organism in Eukaryota, Metazoa, Chordata, Actinopteri, Cypriniformes, Cyprinidae. The transcript is spliced from 2 exons.
GUGAGAUUCACCCUAAAAAGUGUCAGCAUUUCCCCCAGUGCUUUUCUUUAUGCUGUCUGAAUUUGUGCCAAUGUAAUUACAGAGCAGAUCCAGAGGAUAAAUCGAGCCGGAGUCAAUCAAGCAGAUGUGCAGCCUGCUGGUCUGAAGAUCUGGUCUGAUCCCUUCAAGCCAAAAUCAUGAUUCCAGUGUGUGGAUGAAAACGGAAUGAAUGAACAUGAGGACUGAUGUGUCACUCACUGAGGAUUGAGGAUUUGAGAUACACACACAUUAACUCUUUACUACCAUGCAUUAAAUGAGACUUUAAGGAUGUAUGGAUCUUCUGAGUAUGUAUAUUUUCUGUUGGAAUAUGAUUGAAACUAGCAUGACCGAAUAACUGAAAAGAAUUCAAAUAAAGUGAAAAUGAAAACUU